Molecule: long non-coding RNA, 391 nt
Organism: Sapajus apella (tufted capuchin)
Lineage: Eukaryota; Metazoa; Chordata; Mammalia; Primates; Cebidae
Exons: 2
Source: RefSeq, a predicted model, not a curated record
GAAGGGUUCCGACGGCCGCCGGGCUGCCCAGAGUUUGAGGGUCUGGGUCUUUGCACCCCACGAGUUCGCAGGGGAGGACGGUCAAAGGAAUCAAGCGUCUCCCUUGACUCCCCUUCUCUCGCCUUGCAGUCGCGAGGCCGAGGGGCCGUCGCUCAGGGGUAAUCUCUAUCAGUCACCCUCGAGGCCCCGGGUAAUUUUUAGGGAUCUCCACCCCUGCAGUUUUAUCCAUGGACCAAGGAUCUGCAGACCCCAUGUUAAGAAUACCUGGAUAUACAGAAUCUACACAGAACUAAAGCGGAUUUACAAGAAAAAAACCAAACCCAUUCAAAAAUGGACGAAGGAUAUGAACAGACACUUUUCAGAAGAAGACAUUUAUGAGGCCAACAAACAU